RNAcentral lists this ribosomal RNA (551 nucleotides) under uncultured bacterium. RNAcentral's name for it is "bacterial SSU rRNA". It matches the Rfam family "Bacterial small subunit ribosomal RNA", at positions 355 to 896 of the family's 1533-position model. The record is from RNAcentral.
UGGGGAAUAUUGCGCAAUGGACGAAAGUCUGACGCAGCAACGCCGCGUGAGUGAUGAAGGUCUUCGGAUCGUAAAGCUCUGUCGGCAGGAACGAUGUUCCUAGUAGCUAAUAUCUUCUGGGAUUGACGGUACCCGCAAAGGAAGCACCGGCUAACUCUGUGCCAGCAGCCGCGGUAAUACAGAGGGUGCAAGCGUUGUUCGGAAUCAUUGGGCGUAAAGGGCGCGUAGGCGGUUGAUUAAGUUGAAUGUGAAAGCCCGGGGCUCAACCUCGGAAGCGCAUUCAAAACUAGUCGACUAGAGUUCCGCAGAGGAUGGUAGAAUUCCCAGUGUAGAGGUGAAAUUCGUAGAUAUUGGGAGGAAUACCAGUGGCGAAGGCGACCAUCUGGACGGAUACUGACGCUGAGGCGCGAAAGCGUGGGUAGCAAACAGGAUUAGAUACCCUGGUAGUCCACGCCGUAAACGAUGGAUACUAGUUGUUGUGGGUAUUGACCCCUACAGUGACGCAGCUAACGCAAUAAGUAUCCCGCCUGGGAAGUACGGCCGCAAGGCUA